ACAACGGCUCUUUUAAGAGCCACCUACCAAACCUUUAGGAGCUUG
This is a non-coding RNA of Oryzias latipes (Japanese medaka), 45 nucleotides long. Lineage: Eukaryota; Metazoa; Chordata; Actinopteri; Beloniformes; Adrianichthyidae. The record is from Rfam.